RNAcentral lists this ribosomal RNA (522 nucleotides) under Mesovelia dentiventris. RNAcentral's name for it is "eukaryotic LSU rRNA". It matches the Rfam family "Eukaryotic large subunit ribosomal RNA", at positions 670 to 1139 of the family's 3401-position model. Lineage: Eukaryota; Metazoa; Arthropoda; Insecta; Hemiptera; Mesoveliidae. The record is from RNAcentral.
GGAGUCUAACGUGCGCGCGAGUCAUUGGGCGUUAAAACCCAAAGGCGCAAUGAAAGUGAAGGGAGGGCUCGCCCCUCCCCAGGGACGAUGGUCGUCGGCCGAGAGGUCGCGUCCCGCAGUCCCGGGGCGUCCGCCCGCCGAUUGCCGGUGGGGGCGCACUCAGAGCGCGCGCGCUAUGACCCGAAAGAUGGUGAACUAUGCCUGGCCAGGACGAAGCCAGGGGAAACCCUGGUGGAGGUCCGUAGCGAUUCUGACGUGCAAAUCGAUCGUUAGAGCUGGGUAUAGGGGCGAAAGACUAAUCGAACCAUCUAGUAGCUGGUUCCCGCCGAAGUUUCCCUCAGGAUAGCUGGCGUUCACGAGACCUCGAGUCUCAUCUGGUAAAGCGAAUGAUUAGAGGCCUUGGGGUCGAAACGACCUCAACCUAUUCUCAAACUUUAAAUGGAUGAGAACCCCGGCUUGCUCGAACCAACCAUUCAGUGAAGCCGGGGCGUGCGGAUCAGAGUGCCAAGUGGGCCAUUUUUG